RNAcentral lists this long non-coding RNA (1184 nucleotides) under Medicago truncatula (barrel medic). RNAcentral describes it as "long non-coding RNA (MTRU_LNC008394)". Lineage: Eukaryota; Viridiplantae; Streptophyta; Magnoliopsida; Fabales; Fabaceae. The record is from RNAcentral.
UGAAACUAUAUGAUAUAGUUGAUGUUGAAUGACAUUGUUGAUUAUUGAUAAUCAUGUUGAUGUGUGAUGGUGAAUACUAUGAUUUAUUUGUGUGGGCAUGUUUUCUUGAUAAUGCAAUGUUGUGGAGAUAAUCAAUAUAAUUGGGUGUCGUCCUAUAUAUUGAGUUGAGAUUGUGAAUUGUUGUCGCAUUAUCGAGUUCUUACACAUGUCCAUGCAUCAUAGUCGUUGUUGCUGUAAAAGGGAUGACUCUUUUACUUCGAGAUUAUUGUAAGGCAGAGGUGAGCCUUACAUGCGAUGUUGACUUGUCCAUCGGAGGUGACGACCUUGUUGAGAUUUGGUACCACAUGCAUUUAUGUGUCCAUAAGUGCAUAUCAUAGCAUGAGUCUUAUGUGAAAUAUGUGAUUGGUGAUGAAUUGAGAUGAAUGAUUAUUGAUGAUGUUUGUGAUUGACGAUUGUGAAUGAAUAUUUGUGAAUUGAUAAUUGUUCAUGAAUUAUGAUAAUGAUUGUUCAUGACUUUGGAUUGGUGAUUGUUCAUGAUGUAUAUGAUCGGUGAUUGUUCAUGAUGUAUAUGAUCAGUGAUUGUUCAUGAUGUAUAUGAUUGGUGAUCGUGUAUGAAUAACUAUGAAUUGAUAUUUAUUUAUGAUACAAGUAAUUGGUGAUUGUUCAUGAAAUGUGAUUAAUGAUUAUUCAUGAUAAACGUGAUUGGUGAUUAUGAAUGAAUAAUUGUAAAUUGAUAAUUGUUCAUAUGAUUGACGAAUAUUGAUGUGAGAUAUCGGGGUGUGAUGUAAGUAUUAAUGUGUAAUUAUUAUUGAUCAAGUGCAUGAUGUUUAAAUUGAAAUAUUCAUGUUAACUGUUAUUUGGAUUAUGAUAAUGUAAUACUUACCCCCAGUGGAUCUGUUAUGGACCGCCUGCCUAUCUGUAUGGAUGGGUAGACGUUGUGCAGGAUUAGAUGCUUGGUGAGUUCUUGUGCUUGGUGGAUAUCUGGAGCUUUCUCCGAUAUCGGUGUUUAGAUGUUUAGUCGGCUCUGAUCUAGGCUUAGUUGUGUCAGUCUAGAUUAUCUUUUACUUUGGUUUUGUUAUGUUUGGAGAUUACCCGUUUGUUGGGAUUUUUGAGAUGCAUCUAUGUUGAUGUAAUUUAUUUAUUCAUAACAUGUAUAUUUGAAUUUACUCUGGUUUAUAUUCCGC